Molecule: ribosomal RNA, 789 nt
Filed under: Triticum aestivum (bread wheat)
Lineage: Eukaryota; Viridiplantae; Streptophyta; Magnoliopsida; Poales; Poaceae
Description: partial small subunit ribosomal RNA
Source: RNAcentral
AUGACUCGCGCAACAGAGAAGGGUGGGGCGCGCGCAUCAAGCGCAGCCUCUCCAGGCAACCGCGAGACGCCUCACGCGAUCAUGGCCGCGACAUCGGGCGCGACGGCCGCCGUGAUGAUGCUGGUCGCGAUCGCGGCGGCCGCCGUCGUGAUGUUGGCGUGCCUGCUGUAUUGCUGGGCUCCGGAUCCUCAAGCGUGGCGACGGGCCGUGCCUCCGAGAUGCAGCCUCUGCAAGCCGUGCCACUGGAGGUUGGGCGAGGCCGCAGCAUCGCAAGGCAUCCCUCGCCACGUGCUGCCCGGCGUCGCUCUCAAGAAGCCCUCACGCCGCCUGCCUAGCCACCGCUGUCACCAACCUCCGUUUUGCCGCCGUCGCCCAAGUCCAAGAGGAAUGAAGUUCAGCCGGCCACGCUGUUGCCAGAGGAUCCAAGUGGGGCGCUGCUACAGCUCUGCGCGCCCACGACGAUGCUACUGCCUGUGCCGUCCCCGUCCAGGCCCCCUGGGUUCAAGGCCUCGCCAACGCCGCCACUGUUGUCCAGCGGGCUGGUGCGUUGCACCCCUUCGCCCGUGCGGCGCCGUAGGGCCGAUGCUUCUGGUGCUGUUGGCCUGCAGUGCCUUGCGCCGUUGUUUGAAGAUCGGCAGGAGGCCAUCCUGCCCACCCUGGCUCCAACACCACCUCGGGCUCCUACGGCGCGCCGUAAAGCAAUGGUCGGAGUCUCCAUCUCCAGGGUCAGCGGCACCUUCUCGCUGCACAAGACAAAGACGGCAAGCCGCCCCAAGGCCACGCCCAUGA